AAUCAACGCUGGCGGCGUGCCUCAGACAUGCAAGUCGAACGCGAAAGUCCCCUUCGGGGGGCAAGUAGAGUGGCGCACGGGUGAGUAACACGUAGGUAAUCUACCUUUGGAUGGGGAAUAACAACCGGAAACGGUUGCUAAUACCGCAUAAUGCAGCGGCACCUAAUGGUGACAGUUGUUAAAGCGGGGGAUCGAAAGACCUCGCGUCUGAAGAGGAGCCUGCGGCGGAUUAGCAGUUGGUAAGGUAACGGCUUACCAAGGCAACGAUCCGUAGCCGGCCUGAGAGGGCGGUCGGCCACACUGACACUGACAUACGGGUCAGACUCCUACGGGAGGCAGCAGUCGGGAAUUUUGGGCAAUGGGCGAAAGCCUGACCCAGCAACGCCGCGUGAAGGAUGAAAUCCCUCGGG
RNAcentral lists this ribosomal RNA (410 nucleotides) under uncultured bacterium. Its description in RNAcentral is "bacterial SSU rRNA". It matches the Rfam family "Bacterial small subunit ribosomal RNA", at positions 32 to 422 of the family's 1533-position model. The record is from RNAcentral.